AGUUGACUAGGCAGUCGCUGUCACUUUUUCUGUGUGGAUCAUUCGUGUUCCAUGCGGUACUUGGCAGAGGAAAGUCCGGGCUCCAAAGGGUAGAGUGCCAGGUAACACCUGGGGGGCGUGAGCCUACGGAAAGUGCCGCAGAGAGCAGACCGCCGAUGCGUCGUUUUAGCGAAGCAGGUAAGGGUGAAAGGGUGCGGUAAGAGCGCACCGCGCUGCUGGUAACAGCAGUGGCAGGGUAAACCCCACUCGGAGCAAGACCAAAUAGGUUUCCAUUGGCGUGACCCGCGCUGGAAACGGGUAGGUCGCAAGAGGUAGGUGGUGACACAUGCCCCAGAUGAAUGACUGUCCACGACAGAACCCGGCUUAUCGGUCGACUCAU
This 379-nucleotide RNase P RNA is filed under the name marine eukaryotic metagenome. Its description in RNAcentral is "Bacterial RNase P class A". It matches the Rfam family "Bacterial RNase P class A". Rfam says of the family: Ribonuclease P (RNase P) is a ubiquitous endoribonuclease, found in archaea, bacteria and eukarya as well as chloroplasts and mitochondria. Its best characterised activity is the generation of mature 5'-ends of tRNAs by cleaving the 5'-leader elements of precursor-tRNAs. The record is from RNAcentral.